Long non-coding RNA from Entelurus aequoreus (snake pipefish), 558 nucleotides. RefSeq lists it as uncharacterized. Lineage: Eukaryota; Metazoa; Chordata; Actinopteri; Syngnathiformes; Syngnathidae. The record is from RefSeq and is a predicted model, not a curated record. The transcript has 3 exons.
GAAGAAUUCAGGAUAAUGAGCAAGCAAGUUAAACCUCGGUAAUGCUUAAAGAUCAUUACCACGAGGAUCAAACGUAUCCCACACAAGUUCUCUCCAAAGGAAUGGACUAAAGGAUCGUUUGAAGAGACUCCUGUGGUAAGCCCCAAAGGCAAGGUGACUGAGUAGCAGGAGGAAGGUUGAAAGAGGAGAAAAAUAUACAAGUCGCGGUUUAUGCGCCGCUCGCACCGGGACGCCAGCCGCCUCGAUAGGUGACCGCCAAUUUACAAGCAGCUGAAGGACUACGACAUGCUUAUUUUCAGCAUCGUUUUAUCAAGACUCUUUGGACUGGGCAUGGAGGUCGGCUCCAAACUCUGCAGCGACAGCAACAUCGGAGGUGACGCGGCCUCUUCGUUUUCUUCCGUGACAUUCAAGCCGUUUGGUUUUAAUGAUGGGUGGAAAUGACGCAGUUACACACUUCAGUGGGAGCACAACUCGGAAUUACAAGGAAAAUACUGCAGCAGCUACACAAAACGAGAAGUCUAGGAAUCAACUCAUUUGUUCUGUUUUUUUUGCUUUUUA